Molecule: long non-coding RNA, 637 nt
Organism: Helianthus annuus (common sunflower)
Lineage: Eukaryota; Viridiplantae; Streptophyta; Magnoliopsida; Asterales; Asteraceae
Exons: 3
Source: RefSeq, a predicted model, not a curated record
UUUCGGAUAUCCGAAAAUCGGAUAAUCCGAAAAUUCGGGUUCGGAUUCGGAUGUUAGUUUUACAGAUUUUCGGAUAUUCGGAUUAUCCGAAUCCGAAAUCUUAAAAAAUAAUAAAAAUAGAUAUAUUUUAAUAUAUCAUAUAUAUCCUGAUUUUUUAAUUCAUAAGUCAGUAACAAAACAAUUAAAACACACACCACGCGCAUUCAAGUUCAGUCAUUUACUCAUUCACACUUAGAGAAACUAGGGUUUCUCUUUGGAUCUCAGCGCCGCAUCCUCUCCCUCGUCAUCGACCCUCUCCCGCAUCCUCUACCUGCGACAUCGACCCUCUCCGAUCCGGCAUCCUCUCCCUCGUCAUCUGUCUCGGUGUCUCCGGUGACAAAAGAUAUUGGAUAUUGUUUGCUUUUUGAGUUCACAUCUUCAUCAGAUCUUCAAAAGUUAUCGCAGGUUUACAUUGGGACGAAUAGUGGAUGUUUACAAGUGCUUGUGGCUGGAUUUUUCGUUUUUAUUAUAAGAACUUUUGGAAGUUAUGUCUUAUUUUGAAUGUUUAUUGUUUAAAACUUUGGAUUGUUUUGAAUAUUUUGUGGUGGUUUGAACUUUGAACUUUUAAGCUUGAAUUUAUCAUCACUUGUUUAGUUUU